Molecule: ribosomal RNA, 258 nt
Filed under: uncultured bacterium
Lineage: Bacteria
Description: partial 16S ribosomal RNA
Rfam family: Bacterial small subunit ribosomal RNA
Source: RNAcentral
UACGUAGGGCGCAAGCGUUAUCCGGAAUUAUUGGGCGUAAAGAGCUCGUAGGCGGUUUGUCGCGUCUGCCGUGAAAGUCCGGGGCUCAACUCCGGAUCUGCGGUGGGUACGGGGCAGACUAGAGUGAUGUAGGGGGAGACUGGAAUUCCUGGUGUAGCGGUGAAAAUGCGCAGAUAUCAGGAGGAACACCGAUGGCGAAGGCAGGUCUCUGGGCAUUAACUGACGCUGAGGAGCGAAAAGCAUGGGGGAGCGAACAGG